This 90-nucleotide transfer RNA is filed under the name Thermochaetoides thermophila DSM 1495. RNAcentral describes it as "Chaetomium thermophilum var. thermophilum DSM 1495 tRNA". It matches the Rfam family "tRNA". From Rfam's summary of the family: Transfer RNA (tRNA) molecules are approximately 80 nucleotides in length. Their secondary structure includes four short double-helical elements and three loops (D, anti-codon, and T loops). Lineage: Eukaryota; Fungi; Ascomycota; Sordariomycetes; Sordariales; Chaetomiaceae. The record is from Rfam by way of RNAcentral.
GCCCGCGUGGCUCAGUGGUAGAGCGUGACACUAGUAGGAGAUGAGAUCCGAACCAUGUCAAGGUCGUCAGUUCGAUUCUGGCCGUGGGCA